Molecule: ribosomal RNA, 429 nt
Filed under: Chloroflexota bacterium
Lineage: Bacteria; Bacillati; Chloroflexota
Description: Chloroflexi bacterium partial 16S ribosomal RNA
Rfam family: Bacterial small subunit ribosomal RNA
Source: RNAcentral
UGGGGAAUAUUGCACAAUGGGCGCAAGCCUGAUGCAGCCAUGCCGCGUGUAUGAAGAAGGCCUUCGGGUUGUAAAGUACUUUCAGUCGGGAGGAAGGUGGUAAGGUUAAUAACCUUGGCAAUUGACGUUACCGACAGAAGAAGCACCGGCUAACUCCGUGCCAGCAGCCGCUGUAAUACGGAGGGUGCAAGCGUUAAUCGGAAUUACUGGGCGUAAAGCGCACGCAGGCGGUUGAUUGAGUCAGAUGUGAAAUCCCCGGGCUUAACCCGGGAAUUGCAUCUGAUACUGGUCAGCUAGAGUCUUGUAGAGGGGGGUAGAAUUCCAUGUGUAGCGGUGAAAUGCGUAGAGAUGUGGAGGAAUACCGGUGGCGAAGGCGGCCCCCUGGACAAAGACUGACGCUCAGGUGCGAAAGCGUGGGGAGCAAACAGG